This 253-nucleotide ribosomal RNA is filed under the name uncultured bacterium. RNAcentral's name for it is "partial 16S ribosomal RNA". It matches the Rfam family "Bacterial small subunit ribosomal RNA", at positions 524 to 776 of the family's 1533-position model. The record is from RNAcentral.
UACGUAGGGUGCAAGCGUUAAUCGGAAUUACUGGGCGUAAAGCGUACGCAGGCGGUUUUGUAAGCCAGAUGUGAAAGCCCCGGGCUUAACCUGGGAAUGGCAUUUGGGACUGCAAGGCUUGAGUGCGGCAGAGGAGACUGGAAUUCCUGGUGUAGCAGUGAAAUGCGUAGAUAUCAGGAGGAAUACCGAUGGCGAAGGCAGGUCUCUGGGCUGACACUGACGCUCAUGCACGAAAGCGUGGGGAGCAAACAGG